UGGUGGUGGUAUCCUGACCAGACAUCUCCAAUAAGUGGUAUCAGAGCAAGACGAUACCAGAGCGUAGGUUGUGAUCGUAGUAAUCAAAAUUGAAGAUGAAGAAGAUAGGCUCAAUUAAGAUGGAGAUCAAUAGGUUUGAUAAAAAAUAUAAUUUCUUUUUAUGGCAAGCGUGGGUAAAGAAAGUGCUCAUCCAGUAAGGAUUGAUCGAUGCUCUCUUAUAGGAGAAAAAGCCGGCUACUUUGAAGAUGC
RNAcentral lists this long non-coding RNA (249 nucleotides) under Elaeis guineensis (African oil palm). RNAcentral's name for it is "long non-coding RNA (EGUI_LNC035227)". Lineage: Eukaryota; Viridiplantae; Streptophyta; Magnoliopsida; Arecales; Arecaceae. The record is from RNAcentral.